UGAUGCUUUCCGGUAUAUGUCAAGCCUUGGUAAGGUUCUUCGCGUUGCGUCGAAUUAAGCCACAUGCUCCGCUGCUUGUGCGGGCCCCCGUCAAUUCCUUUGAGUUUUAGCCUUGCGGCCGUACUCCCCAGGCGGGGUGCUUAAUGCGUUAGCUUCGGCACGGAACGGGUUGAUACGCCCCACACCUAGCACCCAUCGUUUACGGCUGGGACUAC
This 215-nucleotide unclassified non-coding RNA is filed under the name uncultured Actinomycetes bacterium. Its description in RNAcentral is "uncultured actinobacterium contains 16S-23S intergenic spacer region". Lineage: Bacteria; Bacillati; Actinomycetota; Actinomycetes. The record is from RNAcentral.